UGCCACAUGUUCAGGCAAUAAAUUGGUUGUAACAGAGCUGCUUCCUGCACUCUGCUGAGUAGAAGUAUUCCAACUGAGACAAUAACUGGCAAAAUAAGAUUGACAAACUCUGGUCUCCAUUCACUGAUAAAGUUACCUGAAUCUCAGUUUAAGACUACAGUAUGGUUACCAGGAUUUCUCAAGUACUUCCGCAAUGCUGCUCCGCUCAGGCCGCCAAAAGCCGUACAAAGUACCUAGCAGGAGAAGGCAAUCUGUUAAAUAUCUACUGAAGACUGGCAAAGCAGCUCCAGAAAAGUCAGGGUUUAGUCUACGAGAAACAGUAAAAUGUUACAUACUGACAGAAGAUUCAAAAACUGUCCAUUUUGACUUAGAUGAACAUGGUCAUCAUGAAAUAUCCACCAAGGAUUCACAAUCCCAUGAAGAUAUCGCAUGGUUAAGCGUGUUCACAAGCAAUGACUCAACAGUUUGUGGUAAGACUCGGAUGACUGAAGUGGAAAGAAAAUUAUCUCAGGAAAGUGCUAAAAAUCUGGUGAUCCUCACGCAGAGAUCAAAGCUUAAUGAAUUUGUCCUGUUGUGCAAGGGUGAAAAGCAGCUCUCUCUAAAGCUGAGUGAAGACAAUCUCUUUUUCAUCAUGCAUUGCCAAGGAGAUUCAGUGAAGUUCCAAUGCUAUGAAGACACAAGUUACUAUCUGCAUGUGAAUGAGGACUCACUUGACAUACGCAAGCCAGAAGACACAGAACCUGAUGGGGAGAAAAAUUUUUACUUCAGGGUGUCAUAUUUGUAGGAAAAGUAAUUUGUCUACCUUUCAGUGGCCUAAGUGUCCAUAAAACUCCUAUAAUAAGCUAACAGAAAAGAUUGAGAUCAUAUAGAACUAAUCUCUAUUUUGCCUUUUUUAUGACUUUUUUUUACCAUCUUGAGUCACAAUUUUCCAUUUUAUGAGUGACAUCCUUUAGUUCUGUUCUGUACAAUAGGAAGAGAAAAUGGUUAAGUUUGGAAAGCAAAGUCUGCUGGUAUUUUAUCUGCACAAUUAUUGUUUUGAGUAGCUGAGUUCUUCCUGAAGGGGAAAAAUAAACAGAGCUUAUCUCAAAAACA
RNAcentral lists this long non-coding RNA (1092 nucleotides) under Dromaius novaehollandiae (emu). RNAcentral's name for it is "lncRNA (ENSDNVG00000014832.1)". Lineage: Eukaryota; Metazoa; Chordata; Aves; Casuariiformes; Dromaiidae. The record is from RNAcentral.